This 74-nucleotide transfer RNA is filed under the name Escherichia coli. RNAcentral's name for it is "tRNA-Met". It matches the Rfam family "tRNA". Rfam says of the family: Transfer RNA (tRNA) molecules are approximately 80 nucleotides in length. Their secondary structure includes four short double-helical elements and three loops (D, anti-codon, and T loops). The record is from RNAcentral. Lineage: Bacteria; Pseudomonadati; Pseudomonadota; Gammaproteobacteria; Enterobacterales; Enterobacteriaceae.
GCGCGGGGUGGAGCAGCCGGUAGCUCGUCGGGCUCAUAACCCGAAGGUCGUCGGUUCAAAUCCGGCCCGCAACC